Molecule: ribosomal RNA, 837 nt
Filed under: Agromyces sp. DP_00092
Lineage: Bacteria; Bacillati; Actinomycetota; Actinomycetes; Micrococcales; Microbacteriaceae
Description: bacterial SSU rRNA
Rfam family: Bacterial small subunit ribosomal RNA
Source: RNAcentral
UCAGGACGAACGCUGGCGGCGUGCUUAACACAUGCAAGUCGAACGAUGAAGCCCAGCUUGCUGGGUGGAUUAGUGGCGAACGGGUGAGUAACACGUGAGUAACCUGCCCUGGACUCUGGGAUAAGCGUUGGAAACGACGUCUAAUACCGGAUAGGACCUCUGACCGCAUGGUUGGGGGUGGAAAGUUUUUUCGGUCUGGGAUGGACUCGCGGCCUAUCAGCUUGUUGGUGAGGUAAUGGCUCACCAAGGCGUCGACGGGUAGCCGGCCUGAGAGGGUGACCGGCCACACUGGGACUGAGACACGGCCCAGACUCCUACGGGAGGCAGCAGUGGGGAAUAUUGCACAAUGGGCGAAAGCCUGAUGCAGCAACGCCGCGUGCGGGAUGACGGCCUUCGGGUUGUAAACCGCUUUUAGUAGGGAAGAAGGGCUUCGGCUUGACGGUACCUGCAGAAAAAGGACCGGCUAACUACGUGCCAGCAGCCGCGGUAAUACGUAGGGUCCGAGCGUUGUCCGGAAUUAUUGGGCGUAAAGAGCUCGUAGGCGGUUUGUCGCGUCUGCUGUGAAAUCUGGAGGCUCAACCUCCAGCCUGCAGUGGGUACGGGCAGACUAGAGUGCGGUAGGGGAGAAUGGAAUUCCUGGUGUAGCGGUGGAAUGCGCAGAUAUCAGGAGGAACACCGAUGGCGAAGGCAGUUCUCUGGGCCGUAACUGACGCUGAGGAGCGAAAGCGUGGGGAGCGAACAGGAUUAGAUACCCUGGUAGUCCACGCCGUAAACGUUGGGCGCUAGAUGUGGGGACCUUUCCACGGUUUCCGUGUCGUAGCUAACGCAUUAAGCGCC